This 329-nucleotide unclassified non-coding RNA is filed under the name soil metagenome. RNAcentral describes it as "partial contains 5.8S ribosomal RNA, internal transcribed spacer 2, and large subunit ribosomal RNA". The stretch from base 1 to 120 matches the Rfam family "5.8S ribosomal RNA", at positions 35 to 154 of the family's 154-position model. The record is from RNAcentral.
GAUGAAGAACGUAGCGAAAUGCGAUAAGUAAUGUGAAUUGCAGAAUUCAGUGAAUCAUCGAAUCUUUGAACGCACAUUGCGCCCCCUGGUAUUCCGGGGGGCAUGCCUGUCCGAGCGUCAUUACAACCCUCAAGCUCAGCUUGGUGUUGGGCCCCGCCGCCCCGGCGGGCCCUAAAGUCAGUGGCGGUGCCGUCCGGCUCCGAGCGUAGUAAUUCUUCUCGCUCUGGAGGUCCGGUCGUGUGCUCGCCAGCAACCCCCAAUUUUUUUCAGGUUGACCUCGGAUCAGGUAGGGAUACCCGCUGAACUUAAGCAUAUUAAUAAGCGGAGGA